Molecule: transfer RNA, 84 nt
Filed under: Enterococcus faecium
Lineage: Bacteria; Bacillati; Bacillota; Bacilli; Lactobacillales; Enterococcaceae
Also listed under: 151 other names
Description: tRNA-Tyr
Rfam family: tRNA
About the family: Transfer RNA (tRNA) molecules are approximately 80 nucleotides in length. Their secondary structure includes four short double-helical elements and three loops (D, anti-codon, and T loops).
Source: RNAcentral
GGAGGAGUAGCGAAGUGGCUAAACGCGACGGACUGUAAAUCCGUUCCUUAGGGUUCAGUGGUUCGAAUCCACUCUCCUCCACCA